This 330-nucleotide ribosomal RNA is filed under the name Streptomyces diastaticus. RNAcentral's name for it is "bacterial SSU rRNA". It matches the Rfam family "Bacterial small subunit ribosomal RNA", at positions 1 to 330 of the family's 1533-position model. Lineage: Bacteria; Bacillati; Actinomycetota; Actinomycetes; Kitasatosporales; Streptomycetaceae. The record is from RNAcentral.
CAUUCACGGAGAGUUUGAUCCUGGCUCAGGACGAACGCUGGCGGCGUGCUUAACACAUGCAAGUCGAACGAUGAACCACCUUCGGGUGGGGAUUAGUGGCGAACGGGUGAGUAACACGUGGGCAAUCUGCCCUGCACUCUGGGACAAGCCCUGGAAACGGGGUCUAAUACCGGAUACUGACCUGCCGAGGCAUCUCGGCGGGUCGAAAGCUCCGGCGGUGCAGGAUGAGCCCGCGGCCUAUCAGCUUGUUGGUGAGGUAAUGGCUCACCAAGGCGACGACGGGUAGCCGGCCUGAGAGGGCGACCGGCCACACUGGGACUGAGACACGGC